CUGUGAGCUCGAUGAGUAGGGCGGGACACGUGGUAUCCUGUCUGAAUAUGGGGGGACCAUCCUCCAAGGCUAAAUACUCCUGACUGACCGAUAGUGAACCAGUACCGUGAGGGAAAGGCGAAAAGAACCCCGGCGAGGGGAGUGAAAAAGAACCUGAAACCGUGUACGUACAAGCAGUGGGAGCACAGAGCAAUCUGUGUGACUGCGUACCUUUUGUAUAAUGGGUCAGCGACUUAUAUUCUGUAGCAAGGUUAACCGAAUAGGGGAGCCGAAGGGAAACCGAGUCUUAACUGGGCGUUAAGUUGCAGGGUAUAGACCCGAAACCCGGUGAUCUAGCCAUGGGCAGGUUGAAGGUUGGGUAACACUAACUGGAGGACCGAACCGACUAAUGUUGAAAAAUUAGCGGAUGACUUGUGGCUGGGGGUGAAAGGCCAAUCAAACCGGGAGAUAGCUGGUUCUCCCCGAAAGCUAUUUAGGUAGCGCCUCGUGAAUUCAUCUCCGGGGGUAGAGCACUGUUUCGGCAAGGGGGUCAUCCCGACUUACCAACCCGAUGCAAACUGCGAAUACCGGAGAAUGUUAUCACGGGAGACACACGGCGGGUGCUAACGUCCGUCGUGAAGAGGGAAACAACCCAGACCGCCAGCUAAGGUCCCAAAGUCAUGGUUAAGUGGGAAACGAUGUGGGAAGGCCCAGACAGCCAGGAUGUUGGCUUAGAAGCAGCCAUCAUUUAAAGAAAGCGUAAUAGCUCACUGGUCGAGUCGGCCUGCGCGGAAGAUGUAACGGGGCUAAACCAUGCACCGAAGCUGCGGCAGCGACGCUUAUGCGUUGUUGGGUAGGGGAGCGUUCUGUAAGCCUGCGAAGGUGUGCUGUGAGGCAUGCUGGAGGUAUCAGAAGUGCGAAUGCUGACAUAAGUAACGAUAAAGCGGGUGAAAAGCCCGCUCGCCGGAAGACCAAGGGUUCCUGUCCAACGUUAAUCGGGGCAGGGUGAGUCGACCCCUAAGGCGAGGCCGAAAGGCGUAGUCGAUGGGAAACAGGUUAAUAUUCCUGUACUUGGUGUUACUGCGAAGGGGGGACGGAGAAGGCUAUGUUGGCCGGGCGACGGUUGUCCCGGUUUAAGCGUGUAGGCUGGUUUUCCAGGCAAAUCCGGAAAAUCAAGGCUGAGGCGUGAUGACGAGGCACUACGGUGCUGAAGCAACAAAUGCCCUGCUUCCAGGAAAAGCCUCUAAGCAUCAGGUAACAUCAAAUCGUACCCCAAACCGACACAGGUGGUCAGGUAGAGAAUACCAAGGCGCUUGAGAGAACUCGGGUGAAGGAACUAGGCAAAAUGGUGCCGUAACUUCGGGAGAAGGCACGCUGAUAUGUAGGUGAAGUCCCUCGCGGAUGGAGCUGAAAUCAGUCGAAGAUACCAGCUGGCUGCAACUGUUUAUUAAAAACACAGCACUGUGCAAACACGAAAGUGGACGUAUACGGUGUGACGCCUGCCCGGUGCCGGAAGGUUAAUUGAUGGGGUCAGCGCAAGCGAAGCUCUUGAUCGAAGCCCCGGUAAACGGCGGCCGUAACUAUAACGGUCCUAAGGUAGCGAAAUUCCUUGUCGGGUAAGUUCCGACCUGCACGAAUGGCGUAAUGAUGGCCAGGCUGUCUCCACCCGAGACUCAGUGAAAUUGAACUCGCUGUGAAGAUGCAGUGUACCCGCGGCAAGACGGAAAGACCCCGUGAACCUUUACUAUAGCUUGACACUGAACAUUGAGCCUUGAUGUGUAGGAUAGGUGGGAGGCUUUGAAGUGUGGACGCCAGUCUGCAUGGAGCCGACCUUGAAAUACCACCCUUUAAUGUUUGAUGUUCUAACGUUGACCCGUGAUCCGGGUUGCGGACAGUGUCUGGUGGGUAGUUUGACUGGGGCGGUCUCCUCCUAAAGAGUAACGGAGGAGCACGAAGGUUGGCUAAUCCUGGUCGGACAUCAGGAGGUUAGUGCAAUGGCAUAAGCCAGCUUGACUGCGAGCGUGACGGCGCGAGCAGGUGCGAAAGCAGGUCAUAGUGAUCCGGUGGUUCUGAAUGGAAGGGCCAUCGCUCAACGGAUAAAAGGUACUCCGGGGAUAACAGGCUGAUACCGCCCAAGAGUUCAUAUCGACGGCGGUGUUUGGCACCUCGAUGUCGGCUCAUCACAUCCUGGGGCUGAAGUAGGUCCCAAGGGUAUGGCUGUUCGCCAUUUAAAGUGGUACGCGAGCUGGGUUUAGAACGUCGUGAGACAGUUCGGUCCCUAUCUGCCGUGGGCGCUGGAGAACUGAGGGGGGCUGCUCCUAGUACGAGAGGACCGGAGUGGACGCAUCACUGGUGUUCGGGUUGUCAUGCCAAUGGCACUGCCCGGUAGCUAAAUGCGGAAGAGAUAAGUGCUGAAAGCAUCUAAGCACGAAACUUGCCCCGAGAUGAGUUCUCCCUGACUCCUUGAGAGUCCUGAAGGAACGUUGAAGACGACGACGUUGAUAGGCCGGGUGUGUAAGCGCAGCGAUGCGUUGAGCUAACCGGUACUAAUGAACCGUGAGGCUUAACCUU
Molecule: ribosomal RNA, 2550 nt
Filed under: Escherichia coli
Lineage: Bacteria; Pseudomonadati; Pseudomonadota; Gammaproteobacteria; Enterobacterales; Enterobacteriaceae
Description: bacterial LSU rRNA
Rfam family: Bacterial large subunit ribosomal RNA
Source: RNAcentral